CCUACGGGAGGCUGCAGUGGGGAAUAUUGGACAAUGGGGGCAACCCUGAUCCAGCCAUGCCGCGUGUGUGAAGAAGGCCCUCGGGUUGUAAAGCACUUUCAGUGAGGAAGAACGCCUGGUGGUUAAUACCCAUCAGGAAAGACAUCACUCACAGAAGAAGCACCGGCUAACUCCGUGCCAGCAGCCGCGGUAAUACGGAGGGUGCGAGCGUUAUUCGGAAUUACUGGGCGUAAAGCGCGCGUAGGUGGCUUGAUAAGCCGGUUGUGAAAGCCCCGGGCUCAACCUGGGAACGGCAUCCGGAACUGUCAAGCUAGAGUGCAGGAGAGGAAGGUAGAAUUCCCGGUGUAGCGGUGAAAUGCGUAGAGAUCGGGAGGAAUACCAGUGGCGAAGGCGGCCUUCUGGACUGACACUGACACUGAGGUGCGAAAGCGUGGGUAGCAAACAGGAUUAGAUACCCUGGUAGUC
This 465-nucleotide ribosomal RNA is filed under the name Vreelandella stevensii. Its description in RNAcentral is "partial 16S ribosomal RNA". It matches the Rfam family "Bacterial small subunit ribosomal RNA", at positions 338 to 795 of the family's 1533-position model. The record is from RNAcentral. Lineage: Bacteria; Pseudomonadati; Pseudomonadota; Gammaproteobacteria; Oceanospirillales; Halomonadaceae.